RNAcentral lists this ribosomal RNA (253 nucleotides) under uncultured bacterium. RNAcentral's name for it is "partial 16S ribosomal RNA". It matches the Rfam family "Bacterial small subunit ribosomal RNA", at positions 524 to 776 of the family's 1533-position model. The record is from RNAcentral.
UACAGAGGGGGCAAGCGUUGUUCGGAAUUACUGGGCGUAAAGGGCGCGUAGGCGGCCUUCUAAGUCGAACGUGAAAUCCCUGGGCUCAACCCAGGAACUGCGUCCGAGACUGGGAGGCUAGAAUCCGGGAGAGGGAUGUGGAAUUCCAGGUGUAGCGGUGAAAUGCGCAGAUAUCAGGAAGAACACCCGUGGCUAAGGCGGUUCUCUAGUACGGUACUGACGCUGAGACGCGAAAGCGUGGGGAGCGAACAGG